CAGAGUUCAUGCCCUUACGGGUAGAUCUCCCACCCUGUGUUAUUAUCACUUUGUUGCUUUGGCGGGCCGUCAGGCUCACGCCCGACCACCGGCCCCGGCUGGUACGCGCCCGCCAGAGGACCCCAAACUCUGAAUGUUAGUGUCGUCUGAGUACUAUACAAUAGUUA
RNAcentral lists this unclassified non-coding RNA (167 nucleotides) under uncultured Helotiales. RNAcentral describes it as "sequence contains ITS1". The record is from RNAcentral. Lineage: Eukaryota; Fungi; Ascomycota; Leotiomycetes; Helotiales.